CAGUCGCCGCGGUAAUACAGAGGGUGCGAGCGUUAAUCGGAUUUACUGGGCGUAAAGCGUGCGUAGUCGGCUUUUUAAGUCGGAUGUGAAAUCCCUGAGCUUAACUUAGGAAUUGCAUUCGAUACUGGGAAGCUAGAGUAUGGGAGAGGAUGGUAGAAUUCCAGGUGUAGCGGUGAAAUGCGUAGAGAUCUGGAGGAAUACCGAUGGCGAAGGCAGCCAUCUGGCCUAAUACUGACGCUGAGGUACGAAAGCAUGGGGAGCAAACAGGAUUAGAGACCCCGGUAGUCCCUGUCUCUUAUAC
Molecule: ribosomal RNA, 301 nt
Filed under: uncultured bacterium
Lineage: Bacteria
Description: partial 16S ribosomal RNA
Rfam family: Bacterial small subunit ribosomal RNA
Source: RNAcentral